CCUACGGGUGGCAGCAGUGAGGAAUAUUGGUCAAUGGGCGCGAGCCUGAACCAGCCAAGUCGCGUGAGGGAAGACGGUCCUAUGGAUUGUAAACCUCUUUUGUCGGGGAGCAAAAGACGCCACGCGUGGCGUUCCGCGCGUACCCGAAGAAAAAGCAUCGGCUAACUCCGUGCCAGCAGCCGCGGUAAUACGGAGGAUGCGAGCGUUAUCCGGAUUUAUUGGGUUCAAAGGGUGCGCAGGCGGAAGAUCAAGUCAGCGGUGAAAUGCCCCCGCUCAACGGGGUGAAGUGCCAUUGAUACUGCCUUGCUGGAAUGCGGAUGCCGUGGGAGGAAUGUGUGGUGUAGCGGUGAAAUGCAUAGAUAUCACACAGAACACCGAUUGCGAAGGCAUCUCACGAAGCCGCGAUUGACGCUGAUGCACGAAAGCGUGGGUAUCAAACAGGAUUAGAUACCCGGGUAGUC
Molecule: ribosomal RNA, 461 nt
Filed under: uncultured bacterium
Lineage: Bacteria
Description: partial 16S ribosomal RNA
Rfam family: Bacterial small subunit ribosomal RNA
Source: RNAcentral